This is a long non-coding RNA of Astatotilapia calliptera (eastern happy), 1598 nucleotides long. NCBI's taxonomy places the organism in Eukaryota, Metazoa, Chordata, Actinopteri, Cichliformes, Cichlidae. The record is from Ensembl.
CAGAGUACCACAUUAAAGUAACAAGGCGCGGGCAAUGAGUUAUCAGCGCCGUUUUUCUCUUGUUUCUUUUUGUUUUUCUAUAAGUUGUGAAGAGGACACGCAUGAACUGACUGAGGGGAGAAAUAGUUCCUUGUUUUUUGGAGUGGGGGGCUUUGCUGCAGAUGACCUCCUCUGGAACAACACUGACUAUUCAUGAAUUGGUCCAUUCAUAAUAGGCUUUUAUUAAUUGUCCUCAACAAACUUCUUACACAACUUUGGAGAAGAAGCAAAAAUAACAACAAUGGGCGCAAAUUACGCACGCCCACGCUGAGCGCCUGGAGCGUGGGCCUUCCGAGAGCGAACCGGUGGCUCUAAUUUUGACAUGAAAAAGCAUCGGAGCGUUGCGAGGAGAUAAUAAAACUCCAGUUUCAGAAAUUGCUCCGUGAAAAGGGGUCGCCGUUUGGAGGGCUCGGGACUCCCGAUCCCCGUCUACCCCUCGUGCGCGCACUGGAGACGCCUUUGAGUUUCAUCCAGGAAAUGUCCCGUCGUAAUUAUCUGUUUCCGGGGAUAAUAAUAGACCAAUGCUUUUGAAUGGGGGCUAGCCUGACGUGGCCGCAGACACGUCCCAGGCCUCCCAGCCGCUCUCUGGGGACUUUGAUGGUCCCACAGUGGACGACAUGCACAUUUUCACGGCUUGCUGCAAGGUGUCACAUGAUGAGGAGAUCAAACGGCACAUGGCAUUGAACGUCCCAAGACUGGAAUGUUUACCUUUGACAAAGAGCAACGGGAAAAACAGUCUGGUUCUGUCAGGAGCUACUCACGCCCACAUAUAUACGCAAGCACACACUGACACAUACACAAACACGCAUGCUGGUCCCCCAGAUUCACUUAAGGUGAUUUAAACCUUGCCCUCUUGAGGGCGUCGGGAGAGGCGGGUGGAGGGGGGAGGAUUCCACGACAGAAGGGAUGAGAAAAACAAGGCUGUUUGCAAUCACACCCACUCAAGGAACGCACACCUGCACGAGCGCUGACGCUGAAAGUUCUCUGAGGUUUACAUACAGCACUGUGCAAAAGUUUUACAUCCACUUAAUGUGUUUAGAUUCUCAUCUGUCACACAUUAACACCAUCAGCACGUGUUUGUUAUUAAUCAGGCAACAUCUGUGGCAUGAUGACACAGGAGUACUGCAACAGAUGGUCUGGCCCCCACAGUACUCUCUCCAUGAGUCAGUCCAGGAUUACAUGAGAAUACGAUAACAAAUUCAACAAAGUCAUCCCAAAGGACCCAACAAGAAACACCGUGCAAGAGGAAAAUGCAUGCUGCCUUAUAGUCAAAGGCUGUUCACAGUAAAUAUUGAUUGAAUAACAUGUUGUUUUUUUCUCUUUUUUACAAAAUUAUGAGAUUUAUACUUGUCUUUUAUUUACUCUGUUCAGCUCUUUUCAACAUUGUAUUAAUUGUCAGUCAGCUGUGCAGGACCUGGAAUCACCCUAAUCUCAAAUCCAAGCUUUUGUUGAGACAAAAGCUUCUAUACAAAUAAAGUUAUAUAAACGAAUUCUGAAAACACAGACUGCAUAUAACAGAGGAACGUAACUUUCAGCUAUGAAAAAUGAAAAGAACGUGG